CUACCAGGCAGUUACAGACGUCGCUAUCAAUCAGUUAUACUUUCUGUCUAUAAAAAAAAAUCUCAGAUAUGUUCUUCUCUAAGCUCUAAACUCUAUCUCAAAACUCUACUAAAAUUUUAUUCGAGUGCUCCAUUUCUGUUGACACAAAGUACUGACUUGAGCAUCGGAGGGUCUUGCCGGAGCACCCCCAACUCUGGUUUAGACUUUUCUUACAGGUCCCGAUGGC
RNAcentral lists this long non-coding RNA (226 nucleotides) under Elaeis guineensis (African oil palm). RNAcentral's name for it is "long non-coding RNA (EGUI_LNC051455)". Lineage: Eukaryota; Viridiplantae; Streptophyta; Magnoliopsida; Arecales; Arecaceae. The record is from RNAcentral.